Molecule: small RNA, 126 nt
Filed under: Salmonella enterica
Lineage: Bacteria; Pseudomonadati; Pseudomonadota; Gammaproteobacteria; Enterobacterales; Enterobacteriaceae
Also listed under: 2 other names
Description: RtT sRNA
Rfam family: RtT RNA
About the family: This family represents a bacterial cis-regulatory element known as RtT RNA. The exact function of RtT is unknown although it is thought that it may be involved in changing the cellular response in relation to amino acid starvation.
Source: RNAcentral
UUGCUAUCUGCGAUAUGGAAGAUUCGAACCUGCCGCAGGUUCGGGUCGAACGCAGUGAGACAACGGAGCCGCUUGCGGCGACGGCCCGAAGGGCGAGCAAAGCGAGUCAUCCUGCACGACCCACCA